AUGAAACACAAAGACCCAAAGAACCACGUCUGCGGUUGGUUACAGACUGAAGCACCCUUCUGUCCUGAGGGUGCAGUCCACGGGGGAGCAGUGCUGGGGCUGAGGAGAGGAAAAGGCAGGACCUUGAGCUUUUUGAUCCCAUCAAGCUUCAGACAUGUUUCUCAAAGCAUAAGCAGUUUAUUCUCUUUUUCUCCAAAAAAAAAAAAAGGUUUUUUUUCUUUACAUGAAAUGUAUGUCAGGGAAUGGAGGAUGUUGCUUUUCCCCACACAGUCACAUGGAGCUAUUUUCUCUCUGCGGCAGGAAGAUGUUCUUGACCUGUGGGUGUUGUCCCAUAAAAGAGUAAAGGCCAUCGUGAUGCCAGAGCCAGGCCAGCACAUUUCGAAUGACUUUUCAAAUGACAACGAUAAUCUUCGCAUGUGGGUGAUGUCAUUCUCAAGAGGAGCCCUAUGCUGGUUGGCACCUGUGGAUCAUGUCUCUUGGACCUUUUACCGGCAAAGAGUCUAAAACACAAACAGAAUCUAUUGUUUUCGUCUUCCUGGUCAGUGGUGCUUCCUGCAGAGAAGGCAUUAAAAUGUCUCAGGUCCGAGUACAUCACUUCUUUCAGCUAACAGCAAACAUGAACCACUGUUCAACAUAAACUCUACUUGCAUUAGAUUUGGUUGCUGAAUUACCAGCAUCAUCAUGGAUUUGCUUUCAACAGCAGAUUUGCGUGAUAUCCAGUGG
Molecule: long non-coding RNA, 723 nt
Filed under: Sus scrofa (pig)
Lineage: Eukaryota; Metazoa; Chordata; Mammalia; Artiodactyla; Suidae
Description: lncRNA (ENSSSCG00050011993.1)
Source: RNAcentral